GAAACACGGACCAAGGAGUUUAACAUGUACGCGAGUCUACGGGUACCUGCAACCCAAAAGGCGUAAUGAAAUGUGAGCUUGUUGUAACAAGCAAGCAAGCCGUGAUCCUCGUCCCCUCUUUUGCGUUCGAGGCGCAACGGCAGCCCGUUUAUGCGGCUUUGUCCGUUAAGCGGAGCUUGAGCGUACAUGUUGACACCCGAAAGAUGGUGACCUAUGCCCGGGCAAGAUGAGGCCAGAGGAAACUCUGGUGGAGGUCUGAAGCGAUUCUGACGUGCAAAUCGAUCGUGCUGACCUGGGUAGGGGGCGCAAGGGGCAAUCGAACCAUCUAGUAGCUGGUUCCCUCUGAAGUUUCCCUCAGGAUAGCUGGCGUUCGGCGUGAAGCAGUCUCAUGCGGUAAAGCGAAUGAUUAGAGGCCUUGGGGUCGAAACGAUCUCAACCUAUUCUCAAACUUUCAAUGUGUGAGAUGCUCGACUUUCUUAAACUGAAGUUGAGCGCGCGGAUGCGAAUGUCUAGUGGGCCACUUUUGGUAAGCAGAACUGGCGCUGUGGGGUGAACCAAACGCUGGGUUAAGGCGCCCGAUGCGAGACGCACAUGGGAUCCCAUGAAGGGUGUUGGUUGCUUAAGACAGCUGGA
Molecule: ribosomal RNA, 633 nt
Filed under: Neomegistus sp. AL6543
Lineage: Eukaryota; Metazoa; Arthropoda; Arachnida; Mesostigmata; Paramegistidae
Description: eukaryotic LSU rRNA
Rfam family: Eukaryotic large subunit ribosomal RNA
Source: RNAcentral